GAAACCGUUCCAGGGGUAAACCUGAGAAACCCCAAAAGUUCGAACGGGGAGAUUCAUCGUCGACAACGCUGGCUCCCGUUGGUGCGCGAAACCCCGCAAGGGGUGUCCGUUGCUUUUCCGAAAGGAGGGUACGGGCGUACGGCCAACGGCGAAUGUUCCGGCUAUGUAGACGUGCACUUCUCCUCUAGUAGGACGUCGCGACCCGUUGCGUGUCGGUCUACGGGCCGAGCGGUAGACCGUUGCGUCGCCUCGUGCGUACGCGACGGACCCUCGGUUUCCCGACCGGCUGCGCGACGGUAUUGUAGACGGUAUCGGGCCGCAACCAGUCUUAUCUUUCGAACGUGCGUCAGGCCCCUCGCAAGCUCGAUCAGUCGCCCUGUGGUACGGAUGAUAUUCCCGUUCACGGGCCUGCUCAGCUGUUGGCAGAGGGUGCCCUCGGACUGGCCAAGCUUUGAAAUACCGGUCGGCGACGCUAUUGCUUUGGGUACUCUCAGGACCCGUCUUGAAACACGGACCAAGGAGCCUAACAUGUACGCGAGUCAUUGGGAUGUACAAACCUAAAGGCGAAAUGAAAGUGAAGGUCGUCCUUUGCGUCGACAGAGGGAGGAUGGGCGCUGUAAAGUGCUCCGCACUCUCGGGGCGUCUCGCUCUCAUUGCGAGAAGAGGCGCACCUAGAGCGUACACGUUGGGACCCGAAAGGGGG
This 703-nucleotide ribosomal RNA is filed under the name Protandrena neomexicana. Its description in RNAcentral is "Heterosarus neomexicanus partial large subunit ribosomal RNA". It matches the Rfam family "Eukaryotic large subunit ribosomal RNA", at positions 401 to 826 of the family's 3401-position model. The record is from RNAcentral. Lineage: Eukaryota; Metazoa; Arthropoda; Insecta; Hymenoptera; Andrenidae.